Long non-coding RNA from Gasterosteus aculeatus aculeatus (three-spined stickleback), 17941 nucleotides. Lineage: Eukaryota; Metazoa; Chordata; Actinopteri; Perciformes; Gasterosteidae. The record is from Ensembl.
CCCCCCCCCCCCCCCCCCCAGUUACCGUGAGCGAUUGUCUCAAAGCUGCACCCGACCUGACCUUUAUUCAACCCUUCUGCUCAUUACCUCCUCCUCCCCAACUCUUGUCGAAACAAAAUAACAUUAAGCAUUAACACCUGGAAAUGGGACCUAAUUGGAGCUAAGUCGUGUACGCGGCGCCGUGCAGCAGCGUGUCGAUCCUUCCCUCGAUCGGGUGGAGCGUGAUGAGAGUGUGUGUGUGUGCGUGUGUGCCGAAUGGAUCCCUGCCAGGGAAAAAGGCAAAUGUUGAACUAGUCGGGUGUGCACCAGGGCUCGGUGCUGUAACGCCAGAGUUAUUGUGGCGACUGCAGGCUGCACCAGGGGAAGAGAGAAAUCUCACAUCUCUGUUUACAGCCGGCAUUGUAACGGAGCAGUUUCAUGCAGCCCUUCAAAUACCUUCGGGAGGGAUGCUGGUGUUACUUUAUACCUCUGAAAAUGGAGCCUCGGUGAAAGAGGUGUUGACGGCGUGCACAGCCGUCCCUGGAAACCUUUCUAUUUUCUUCUCGUUUGGUAUUCGGAUGAUAACGUUCUCUUUACUUGAGCAGUUUGAUAAAACAAAGACGUCCAUUAUGUGACAAACUAAACUCAAGGACGGAGUUAGAAACUUUUUAAUGGGGGUCCAGACCUGGGAAUGGAUUCAAAAGAAAGGAGCAAAAGAAUGCGUCUCUGCACGACACCCUAUUAUGCUGCAUGUUCACAGUUAUUAUCACAGUUAUCUUAUUAAACAUGUUAGCAAAAGAAGAUCUUGAUGUCACUGCCCACACACUCACAAUUCUUGAGGUGUCUAAUUAUUCUUAUAAACAGACGCUUUGACGUCAGACGUCUUAAUACAUGUUGGGAACCAGUUUCAAAUAGACUCACGCUAAAUCUGAUUAUCGGUGAAGGGAUGAAAGCUCAACAUCUGCAGUGUGCUGGAAGUGAGGUUUGCCGAAGCCUUUGUAGACCAAUGCGUCCUGUGUGGUGACAGCAGUCAAAUGUGCUGUUCUUUUUUUAUUUUUGGAUAACGGGCCUUGGUACAGAUACCAGGAACCAGAAACGAGGCCCCAGUGGUUGCCGGCCCACGCUGGGCCCCAAGGGCUCCUGAAGAUGCACAGAGACCGGCCCCAGCGGCACGGUCAGUCAGCACAUGUCACAAUUUGAUUGCUCGGAAUAACCGCUGUCCUGUCAGCCCCGGCGAGCCCUGACAAUAUGUCUCCCAGUCCGCUGUCACUUGAGGCACCAAUUAAGCACUCCUCACUCCAAACACCCCGAAUUCACACCUGCUACGACAGGAAGCGCACACGCAACGCACACACACAAACACACAGAUGGGUCUAAACCGGUAGUCGGUGAGACCUUCUCCCGGGCCAGUGUCCUGGCACGGAGACCCGUUGCUCCUUGUCCCCGUUAGCCUCUCGGUCCCCCGUGCUGUGAUGCGUUAAUAGGGAAAUCAUUGCAGCCGGGCCCCAGAUGGCGUGUUCGGAUAGCUGGCUCGCCCUCUGAUUAUGGAGCGUUCUGGAUGAGCCGGGGCCUCGUCUAUUCCCGGCAAUCCUAAAAUAACCGCCUGGCAGCAGGGCGCCUUGGUGGGCUGAAAUAUUUAGAACCCCACAUCAACUCUUCUCAAACUGUUUCCACCCAUGCGGCGGCGGCCUGUCGGUGUUUGUGGUCAUCCAGGUUGUCAUUCAUUUUUCUGAAAGCAGCCCGGAGGUAGGAAGUGUAUUUAAAUGUUUCUUCCCCGAGGAAUCGGACUCUUCUGAGUCCCGACAACAGCCCAAAGCGGUGCUGCCGUUCAGUAAUCCCCAUUGUAUUACACGGGAAUCGCUCGGAAUAGAUAGAAAGGGAAUUUGUUUAACCAAUACUUCACAAGUCAAAACACAACGCUUUGUAUCAUCUGUAAAUACAAGGAAUCAAUUAAGAACUUGUACUUGACACUGUAUUUGUGUGUAUAAACCUCCAGCUGUUCAUACUGUGAAUCAUUUAUUGCUAUAAGCAUGUAUGUGUGUGUUUUUGCGUACAUACAUACACACAUACAUGUGGCAUAUUUAUCUCCUCCACAAACCACUUACAUCACUUUUCAUUUUGUACACACUUUGUAUGUACUCUACAUUUUGUUUUGUACAUUAUUAUCAGGCAUUGUCUCAGUACUCAAGCAUGUGCAAUUUUACAAUUGUAAAAAUCGGCUGUAUUAUUGCAUUUAUUCAGGGACACACAGAGAGCACAGCUGCAGACUCAUCAGAGGAAUACCAAUCAUACACAUCAAAUACACACACAUUUUCACACUCGACCGAAAUGAAGUAUGACAAUUAAGUGAAGUUUGAAAAAAAAGAAGAAGUUUGGCUUGUAAAGUCAUCAUUAGUGGUAAUGAGGUAGAAGUCUCAAAGAGGUGGUUUAAUCUUUUAGGACUGGUAGAUCUGACUGCCAUUAAUUAGCUGUAGUUGAAAGCAGAGGUUUUUAAAGUGUGAGUCUUCAGGGGGCUCUAAGCAGUUUUAGGGAAGGAUCGCUUGAAUGGCAGUGAAGAAAUAUUAUUAAAGUACAUUAGUUAUCAAAGGAUGAUGAACAGCCUACAUUUAUUUGUGUGAUAUGGUUAAAGAGUUCAUCCAGUAGUUCUGGGUCAUUUAUAUAUAUAUAAUCAUACUACAUACAUACAUAACAUCAUGUACAGAAUGAGAAGAAAAACAUGAAUGAAUGCAAGAGCUUCCACACAGGAAAUGAUCAUCCCCUGAAUGGUCCGUCUUUAAUCUACAGAGCUAAUUCACUGAAAGCAUUAGCCCUACUUCGGCAGCACAAGUAAACUUGUUAUCCAACGACUUCAGCAGAUGUAUUGCCAUCUUUGUUAACGUUGUUCCUCUUGCAGUCUUCAUCCCAGGAGCCAUUACCAGCAUGCACACGGCCCCCCUCACUUGACAUAUAGCGUUCUUCAUUCUACUCUUCCCUGCUGAAGAACACGAGGAGCCUUGAUGUGUAUUGCAUCUCUCCCCGAGGAUAAAAUGGAUGUGAAAAUAUAGUCUGUUACCAUCAAUAUUGUAGCUGUGUUUUACCCAUAAGACAUCAGAAGGAUCACGGGGGACGGAGAGAAAGAAAUAUCAAAGAUGGAGCCAGUGGUGACAAAGGCAACGUGUUUGAUUUUCAAAGGGAUGCAGAUAUUAGCAUUUCUGGAUCGCUUGACCAGACCCGGCCUCUCCACUCUCUUACCUUUCAUGUCGAGAGCCCGCCCCAGAAAAGAAAUGAAGGAGGGCUACUCAGUAUUUAAAUGCAUCCGGGCCUGACAAGUUCAUGCUUUUAUUCUGUUUUGAUAUGAAUAUGUAUUAAAGGCCUGCUUCAUAAGAACCAAACACCGGUCUGAAGAAGGGCUAAUGGACACGUCUGCGAUGCUCACAAUGUGAUAGGUCACCGGCUGAGAAGAGACCACAUCAAUCACACGGAUGCAUCUUCACAUUUUGGUCAAUAGACACAUUUCAGUUUGAAAACAAAUGAAAAUGACGUAAAUCCUCUAAUGCUGUAUUCUUUUACGGUUGAGAUGAGAAUUGUAUAUUGGUCACCAACUGUGUUGGUGUGUUAAGAACUGACAUAAACGGUUACUGUAUUCUGAUACUUGAUAUUUUAUAUACUUUGGAUGUGGAAGGGGAAGCCUGACUGGUCUGGUCGGCGGCAGCCGUUUGGCUCACCUGGAGCAAAGCCACCUAAGAGACAGAACUCGGCGGUAAUUGGGUUUUAGCGUAUGUUGUUAAUAAAGGCCUUAUGCUCCUCUCUGCUGCUAUGAUUUCAUUUCAACGCAUAAUGCAGAACAUUAAUAUCAAUACAUACGGUAUUGAUUUUCCUCUGCCUCCUCUGGAAGAGAGGUAGUCUUCGAGCGGAGAAAAGGGGGAUUCAGUUGCAGUGAAUUUAAUUUGGUGGUUUUGUGUUGGCAUCGAUAUCCUGAAAUUCAGACCUGUCUGAGGGCCUGUUCGGUAUCCUUGCUUGACCCCAUCCUCUUGAUUUCCUCUCCUCGGGGAGAGACGCAUCGCUCUGAAGGAAAGAAAGAAGCUCCGCUUGCUCUCCCUCCUCUCUCUUGUACAAAUGAUUUGCAACCCUUACCCACAGAGCCACAGAGGAGCUCUGAAGGGGCGGCGCUGCGGCAUUUCCAUGGAGAGAAAAGGCCAAGCACGUGGGUGUUCAAUGGAAAUCCAGCUCUCAGUUUCCUUUGGGCUUAACGAAUCACAUCAUAGUGUGCAAAGGUGGCUUUAGUGUUUGUUUUGGAAAUAAAAGAACAUGCUUUGCUGGAGGAUCAGAUUGCUUCGGAGAGUUUACCACUGAAGAACAUUCCAAAGUGCUGGUGGGAGGCGGUGCAGUCGGAAAUAAAAUAAUUGCGAUUGAUGUGGCGGGGGCGGCUGGCAACUCAUUCAUCAGAGAAUAAACUUAAUCCCGACAUAUUCCUCCAAAUGUGUACUCUGUUAAUCGGCCACGAUUAUAAUUAAUGGAUGCACUCCACAAAGAAUAUUAAAGAACAGAUGUUUACUCAAUGUAAGUCAAUAGUCGCAGAAACCUUCAAUUAUGGCCCCCCUGUGGGGAACGAAGAUGGAGCAUUAAUCUGGACCAAUUGACAGAAGAUUGAAUUGAUUACCUAAUUAUAAGGAAGCUGGGUUAUUAUUGCCAUAACUCACUGCCGAUUAGCAAUCUUUUGCAAUGCAGAAAGAGACAGCACAAACCCGAUGGAGACCCAGUCACGUGACCAGCCCAUAUUCAUCCUGCCUACUUGAUUAGGUCAGAUGUACAGGAAAAGGCAGGCAGAGAAGAGAGUGGGUAUCAAUUUCAGGUUAUGAAAAUUAUUUCCAUACACCCCCCCGGGGUGGUGAGAGGCUACCGCGCGAAAGAACCUGAUUGGAUGCCAUUAAUCAUGACUAAACCACCUAGCGAUGCAGUAAUCUUCAACAUUCAUCCACAAACAAACCCCCCGUGGAGCUUUCAUUGGGAGUAAACUUUACGUCUGUUUAAAAAAAGAAGGUAUAUAAAUGUUCCCAAACUUUUGAAAUGGGGCAAAUGUCGAUGAACAUAUUCCACAGUCGGCACGGACGGGCCUGUUUUCAUGUCCUCGGGUCCGGCUGCAGAUUGAGUGGUGCCGGCACGCUCCAACGUGCCCCCCCCCGCCCCACUGAUGGAGGCGCAGACGCCCUCUCGUCUGUCUGUCCCGUGCGUGCGACGAGGGCCUCGCGUCUGAACUCCCGUCUUGUCAGAUGCGCCGGCGGGUGCGUUCUUCUGACAGCUCUCUGGCUCUCUGCUCUGCACACCCGGCCUCCCGUUUCACACCGCAGAGGUCAGGGAUUCGCACUCAGUGUGUGGCGUGGAGAAAAAAAGGAGCUGAAGCGUGCACGGGGGAGAAGCUGUCUACCUUCUCAGCCCGUGGUGUUGUCAGGUCUGUGGUGUUAGAGAACUCCGACAGGGUGUCCCCUACCUCACCCUACUGCAAACAGGGCCCGAUAUCGCCUUUCAUCCACGGCACAAGUGUGUGAGGAGUGUGCGUGUGCGUGUUUGUCCUUCUUGCCGUGUGCUGUUUGUGUGUGCGUGCGAGCGCAGAGGCUCCACAUCGCUCCACGUUUCAGUGCUUCCCUCCUGGAGGAAACCGACUCGAAGAUGACUCGAGGAUGGACGCAGUCCUCAAACGGAGGACUGAAAUCACACUGCUGGACUUACUUUACAUAAAAUAAUAGUUCUUUCAAUGUUUUCUUUUGACACUUCAAUAAAUCUGUUUGUUUUAGAAAGGAAAGACACAAAGUUGUAGUAUUAUUUUAUGUGAUUUUUUAACUGGGUUUUAUAUUUUAAAACAAUUUUCAUUUAUUACAUUCCUACGUUCUGUAGCGCAAAAUAAGUUAGUACCACAUGAUCUAUAUUGCUCCGCCUUUCAAUGCUUCUCUAUAUAUUUAUCUAUCUAUUCAUGGCAGUUAAAAUAAUGAUCGGUUGCAGCCCUGGUGUCAGUCAGGCCGGAGCCGGGGAGGAGGACAAGGACGCAGAGAGGUUUGACUGCAGGAGAUUUAUUCCAAUAAUUCAUAUAUCUAAUAAUACCAAAUACAACGAUCCUUUCACAAACACAACACUAACGCGGGUGUGGACAUGCACAACUACAAGACACACUGGCACAGGACAAAGGGAGACGCAGACAAUAAGUAUCCGUGAGGGAGGUGAGGGAACCGGUGGAGACAAUUAGGAAUCAGGGGAGACAAUCGACAGGAGACACCUGAGGAAGGGCAAGGCACCUGAAACGAGAGGGGGUUUAGACGCCACAAUAAAACAGGAAGUAUCAAAAUCAGACCUUCCCUUCCAUUUUCAGAAUAACUUCAUUGUACCUCUUCCUUUUAGAUGCAGACCAGUAAAGCCAGUGCGCAUAUCGUUGCCCUCGCCUGCCAUUUAGGGCCACCAGCUGCCGCAUCUGGUGUGACCAGUGUGUCCGCUGAAGUCCCGGUCAUAGCUGUCUCCCGACCUGACAGAGAUCUGCAUAAACCGGCUCAUCUGUCCCUCACACAGUCUCCCCAGCCAUCAUCUCCGUGUAAGAGCCCCCCCCCCCCCCCCCCCGCCCCGUCCCAAACCUGCUGCCUGACAGCCAGCAAACCGGCCCUGACAGGCGGCCAGGCAGAGUCACGGGCUCACCGCAGAGAGCACCGCCUGUCUCCCCUCAUUUCCUCCUCUCGGCUCCCCCGACUCCCUCUCGUGAAAACAACGAAAACUCUGGUGAACCCCUCCGCUCUAAACCCGAGCCCACCUUCCUCCCUGCUGGGGGGGGAUCAUGCCAAACACGGACGCUUCCUUUUUUUUCUUUUUUUCCUCAGCAGACAAACUCUUUAAACCCUGCCUGGUUUUGUGCUGAAUUAUGGAAUAAAUCUCUCAAGGUGUAAAGGAUAUAAGGGCCUUUUUCUCGCUCGAGAGCCGUGUGAGAUGUCCCACCCAUCCACCUCGUUGAGGAGCCUUUAUGAAGAAAGCGAUAUAUUUAUGCCAAGUAAACUGGUAGACAUGGGUGACAUUUCUCGCAUACCGAGAUAAAAAGUCAAGGAUAAAAGACAAACGUCCUUCUCUGCCGCCCGCUUUGGCACUUUGCCUCGUCCAUCAAAUAUGAAAAUCUGCACAUUCUUUGUUGCAACAGGCAAACAAAAGAGGACUAUGUUCUUGUUUAAGAGGUACUCAUCUGCUGAAUGAUAAAGGGAUAAAGAUGUUGCACAGACUAUGAUCGGCCCCAGCAGGAGCUGUGGUUCGUCUAAGAGUCUUAUCAAAGCACGCAGGCCCUCAGAUCAUCUCCUGCGCUGCAUCUCAGCACCCAUCAAAUCAGUUCUGACUUUUCAUUGCGACGCGUUCUGCUGCAUCUCUUCUGUUUUUUUUUUUUUUUCCUCUCUGGAACCCGGAACUCCGCUCAGCCUCGACUGUAAUUGCUUUUCAUGUAAAUUGAUAUCGGUCAGGAGAUCAGCAGAUCAGCAGAUUACCUCCGCAUGCUUUUCCCCGUUCUCACAAACACACAGGUACUUAUUCGUUCAAAUACACACUCUCACACACAUAAAGUACACACACACACAUACACACACUUUUACCAGAGGACAAUUAGAUCCCAUGAAAGUCUUCCUAAUGAGGGCCGAGAUGACAGUUGAAAUGUAGACGUACUAAUGCAAUUCGGUGCAGGUCCCAGGAAAUUGUUCCAUCGAGAGAUUGAGAGAGAAAAAGAAAACGGUUCACCCCCUUUUGUGUCCAUGAGCGACAGUUAAAUGGCUCUAAAUCAGCCUUUUGAUAAUUUGAUAUUUGAGCUUCCUCAACCCCUAAAACAUAAUGGCUUCUAAUAUGCGGUCUCGUCAAUUCAAAGCAGGAGGAGAGUUCUCGGAGGCUCAGUCCGCACAAAGGCGUGCCGGUGGUGGAGAGCGUGCACACGGCCGUCCACAAGAUGGAUGUGCUGCAGUCGGCUCCUCAGAGGAGAGAUGUCUCUUUCUCCUCCACGGCACAAGCCACAGCCAUUGCCUCUGUUAGUCCUCAAAAUAAGAAGUGAAGUCAAACAGAAUCUGAUUCCACAGCUAUCUCUGAUUGCAUUUUUUACAUCGGGACCCCAGGGAGGAGAGGGUGACCCCGCUAAUGGAAGAACUCAUCAGUAUCUGCCAGGGUAAUUAGCCGAAUUAGCCAAUCCCCCUCCCCACCCCGUCUCUAGGGCGACCCCGGUGUUGGGGGAUGAGCCGUACCUGUUGGCUGUAACGCUGCUGAUCGAGGUGGAGAUCAAUGACGCCCACAUUUAACAACACGAAUGCUCUGACAGAGAAAUGAAUGGCUUCUGUUUAACGCCCACACAACACUUAUGUACAUACGUCACAUUUCUUUGAAGAGGAAAAACAUCCUGCGUAACUUCCCGUGAGUGCUCUCAGCAAUUAAGCGUUCUGUCUAUUAUUAUUAUUAUUAUUAUUAGUCAGUUUCCCCCUGUGCAUUAAAUGGCUUAUGAAAUAUGCCUUUUCCCCCCCUCCAUUUACUUUUCUCGUACUGAACUUCUUCCGUCCGCUGUUGCUUACUCGUUUCACUGCCGCCUUCCUCUUCAUCUCGCCAAGAGAAUAUUUAACCUUGGCGAGGCUCGGGGAGCAGAUGGUGGGCCCUUAUGUGUGUCCGUCGUCAUCCACAGCUAAUGAAGUGAUGUCUCUAUAAACACCUGACAGCGGGUCAAACCGCCGGGGAUAUGAAGGCUCUGUAAAUACUCCUUGUUGUAGCCACAUUAUUGUUGUUGCACGAGAAGCGAUUCUCCCACAUUAGGACAGCGCGGCCGUUCUCUGCACCUGCAGCCUCACAUACUGUGAUCUGUGCACAAGGAAAGAACAAGACUUCACUCAAUCCUGGAUAAAUGGAUCACAUGAUAGAAAACAAUAUGCGGUGAUGUUUGGAGAACUAGAAAUGGACAUUUUAACAACUGUAGAUGCUUUUGUUUCAUGGGAGGAAUUUUGACAGCAUGUUGGUACGAGAGAUAUUGAAUUUUGCACAAAUUAUCCCACUUAAAAAAUAACUUACAAUAAAUCAGCAAACAGUUUGCAUUAUACGACUGUCAGUCAAAAUAGAAGAACUAAUUCAUACUUUUUACCCAACAUGACGUUAACUAUUUGUAUCAAAGUGAUACAAAUAUGUAACUAUGGUUUUCAAGCCUCAAGUUCAUUUCGGAAGUUGCCAUGUUAUUUUUUUUUGUUUUUCCAUUUAGGUUUCUUGCAACCAUAAGACCGAACAACGAAAACAUUUUCAGGCGUCCUGAUUAUUGCCCCACAUUCUUUUUGUAAAAGGGGUAUUAUGUAUUAAGUAUUAUGUAAAUGAACAGCUCAUAUUAACGUUCUUACUCAUUUGGUAAGGAAAAAAGUGUAUAUUGUAUUAUUAUUGCCCUGUAUCAUUAUGUAGACGUGUGUGCAACUGCCUCAAAAGAAAUUUGGACCUUUAAACCAAAAAAGAAAGAAUGCAAAAGAGGAAAGGAGUAAAGCAUCAUGAAUUUUAUACAGCAGGGUAAAAUAAACAUAAAGUUCACUAUAUAGCUAAAAUCCCCUUUUCAUCCCCAGCCGCCAAGAAGAUGAACAACAAUUCGUACAGUAUUUAAAUUGCAUACAGCACACAUCAUAAAAUACUGACCACUAUAUACACAGUGACGGGAUGCACAUAGUAUUUAUGGUAUAGAAUAUAUAGUAUUAACGGUUUACGGUUGUUGAUUUAGCUGAUAAAGGUUCAUAGAUUGAACAUAAUGACUGCGUUCUUAACCCUGUUUUGACGCUAUAUGCUAUACUGUAUAUAACCGAUGCACAUAAAGGGGGGUCUGCCCUCGGCCUCUGGUGUUGUGUACGCCGAUUGACUGAACUGACGCGAUCGUUGUUGUCAUGACUCACGCGUCCCCCCGCUCUGACAAGGCAAAAUGUCACCGGUAAAACGGCCUUUUACCAGUGCUAUGGAAUGAAUCAGGCUCCCCUGUUCACUUAUUCCCCACAUAAUAGAGCCUUCAGAUUUACUCUUCAGUGAGCAGUAAAUCAGAUCAGUUUGCACCAUUAGCGACAAGUGUGGUGUUGACUUUAACUUCAGCAUCUAUCAAAUGCGACGUAAUGCAACGUGGCAUUGUUUGCUAUUUUUUCUAUUUUCAUUCAAACUGGUGCAAUUUUUUUUCUUCAUAGUGCUCGUGUCUCACAGGAAACUCAGUUAAAAUGGCAGACUGUUAAUACUGUGCACUAUUUUUGGAAAUAGAGCAUAGUUUUGGCCACAUGCCUGACUCAUUAACCGUGCUGUAUUAUUGGUUAUUUGUGGCCUUAAUGUAGCUUGGUUGUCUCAGUGUGUCUGCCGUAGUUAGCAGUGGAAAGACUCAUCUGACAUCUUUACUGUGAAAUUGUGAGGCGGAGUCAGCUGCCAGGAGGCCGGAAGGACAUGCAGCGUCUAAACCCCAAAAGGCAAAAUCUUCCUCUGACUGUUAAAAUUGCGAGUUCUUGACUAAAGUAACUGAAUGGAACCAGGAAUGCUUCCACUUAAUGGUGCAACAGAUCAUCAAACCAAAUCCUAUCUCGGAUUAGAGUCACGGAUCGGAUCAAAACAGGAUCAGCACUAAAUAAAAAGGGAGCGAAAACAACUGAUUCCUGACAACUUCUUCUAUGCGGCUGAUGCAGAUCGAUGAUCAUUGAUGAUCCAUGCUGGCGGAUGCAGGUCUCCUUGUUCUUUGAUUAUAGCAGCCGGUAUAAAAGGCUCCAAGCUUUUGUUUUUGUUUUUCCACCAUCCUAAAAAUCCAUGAUUUAAAAAAACAUGCAUUUGAAUGAUCAAGAAAAUCAAUUAAUUUAGUAAUUAGGUGUAUUUAUUUGUUUCACAUCAACAUGGUCGUUCUCCUCAGGUAAAUUUACACGGAUUGGUUGUUUAUUUACUGAUGACAUGUUUUUCUGACAAUCCAAAAAUGAUUUGUCAAUAAUUGCUAGCAACUAGGAUAACAAUAGGUUACUUAUUAUUAAAGUCUCUGGUAGGCUCUUGGGAUGAAAACUUGACACAAUACAGCUGUGUUCUGUUGACAAACUGCUUUAACAAGCAAAGAAAAGCAUCUGCAAACGACAGAAUUGAUUCGGUGAUUCAGAUUCCACCAAUGCUUUAACCAUUCAUCUGCUGAAUUAUUACAGUGGCACAUUAAGGCGGCAAAAGAUUUUCACAAUAAAAUGAAAAACAGUUCGACCCCAUGGAGCCACGAAGCUGAACAAACCUCGUUGAACAACGAAAGCGAUGUUGUCUCCAAUUUUCUCAAUAAUCCGACUUGUCCUCAGCGGAAAUAUCAGAAUUUGACAUUUGAUUUCAUAGCAACCUGAUUACCACAAUCGGUCAAUAAUUGGAUAAAUGCUUGAAAGGUCACAUUUGUCUGAGUUAUUUUGAGUCAUCUAAAAUCAAAUCUUAAUUUGUACUUUUAACUGUCUAUGUUUUAAUUAAUUAAUUUUAAUUGCAAAAUCAGACACAACCAGUCUGACACAAAAGUGAAACCAACCGUAGGUCCUAACUCUGACCCUAAAUCAUCAAUACUUGAUUCCAUUUUUGAUACCUUAAGGAUGAAUUAGCGGACCAUUGAGGCCAGAGUAAUAUAAAUUCUUAUAAUCCAAUGAUAAGUGAUGUGUGUAUCACCUUUGUCAGAGAGAAGAGUGCAGAAAGCGCAGCUGCUACUCCAGUAUCCAAACUGCGGAUUAAUUAGUAUUGAUACCAUCUCAAAUAUUCACUAUGUAUCGAUACUUACAAUAUUUUCGACAACACUUUUCUCUCAUCUAUCAGUGGUCAACACCACAGUUGCCGUCGACAACCGUUUAGAGAAAUUGGCCACCAAGUCCUGGACUUUCUAAUAUGUAAAAUAUCCAAGCACGUGACCCAAAAUUCAAAUACGUUUCUCAAUGUUCACCGCCGAACAUUUGAAGCCAUUGGAUGUGUUGCCUCUUCAUCUGUAUGUGAGAAGCGAUUCCACCGUGUCAGCAGAAUCCAAACAGACUGAAGGUCAUCUCUGAAAGGGGAGACGAUGGACAAACAAAUGUUGCUGUCGCAGUGAGUCUGUGAUGGGAAUUUGCACCAAAAGGUCCAGAAAACCAACCUUCUGAGGGAAAAGAACGGAUGAGCCUCCAACUGGUGACUUGCUGGGUUCUUUUUGGAGGGAUAGUUAAACAAUAGGUGCCUUUCUGGUGGAAUUUAAUUUCCCCUUUUGUUAACUGACAAAACACAAACUACAGGGGUUUUUUUCUUACUGUAGUAACACAUUUACCCGUGUAUGUCACAUUGCACCACUUUCAACCGCACAUUGUCUUGAUUAUUCAAAACAUUUGGGGACUCAAAAUGGAAAAGAUACGUUUCACGAGCAGAAUAGAAAGCUGAUGCCGGUUAACGGUAAGUGUUGAGCCCUGUCACCUGUUUCUUUCCCAGGAUGAUGUGUCUUUCUACUGACAGCUUUUGUUCGACUCCAUUCAAGCUCACGUGAGUGUGCGAGGAGCUGCGGUCUGUGUGUAAUGUCCCGUCAUCAUCGCUCGGCCUGACGCACACGCUCUACCUUUGUCCUCGUUCGUUUUCAAUUGAAAACAAAGUCUGAGGCGUGAAUAAAAAAGCUCCGCUUGCUAACAACCGCCUUUGUCCCCGCUGCUGGAUCUGCCGUCCCGAGAACAGCUUAAUGACAGAGUGAGGCGUGUGUUUUCUUUUGUGUAUCUUUUUUUCAUACACAGACCGGUCGUGCAGCCGAAGCCGCUCGCCGCCGCUUCUUCCCUCCUGCGCUCAGGAGACGGGAAAAGACAGGCUGGUGUGGCGCGAGAAGACUGUUUGUCACUCAGCAGCAGGCCGCGGUGUAUAAUUACCACUUACUGCACAAUCAGCUGUCUUGUCACACCCUCGGUGCGCUUCGACAUUCACGUUCGCACCGCUGGAGAGAGUUUUUCGGUCCUUUCGUGGGCGUCUAACUUUUCCUUCCCCUCUCGGCAUACGCUUACUAUUUCAAUCAACAUCCUCCUAUUCUCUCAAUUAUCACAGGUCUGACUGAUUGGACAGCGGCCCGCGAUGAUUUUUUGUUUACACAUAAUUUGCGACCGCUCCGCUGCCUCCCGUGCCAAUUUACAUAUUUCCCCCCCCCCCUCAUGCGUGCCUGCCCAUAUAUCUGCCUCUCGCUCCCCUCUUCACUUUGCUGUGCCAGCACUUUGGUAGCAGAGCCGCUGGGGGUGGUGUUUAAAUGGUGGGUGGGGGCUGCAGGGGCAGACGAGAACAGUCAAUAUUUCAUAUCUCUACCUGGAAGGAGACACAGAGGGCAGUGCGAAAUUCAAAUAGGGUAAGAUGUACGACGCCCACGCACGGUUUUAACUGUCCUGCCAGUGGGGGGAGGCUACAGGAGGCCAUGCAGCUGGCGGCUCUUGACAUGAGGAAUCCAUUAAUUUCAGCAUUUGCAAAUAGAACACUGAGUUUUCUGAGAGGACGGCGGCGCUUGCACUAUGGGAGCCGAGAAUUGAAUGCAAGGACAACAAUAAAAGCGAAGUCACAUUAGCAUAAAUCAAAUUGUCAAACUUUUACAUCUUGCAAUGCAUUGUUCGCUUUUACUGCAUGGCUGGAAGUUUUGAAUAAUGCAACCUGUGAAUAGACGCGACCCCCCCACCCCCCCUCUACCCGCCUUCCUCUGAUCAGGUUUCAGGUGUGAUUAUGUGCAGCUGGUUUCAAAGGUGUGUUGUAAUGGAAGUGGAUGGCUGUGGAUGAAAGGGGUGUUCCCUUCCUCGCUGCCAAACUCCCAUUCUUCCGCCCGAACUCAAUCAGCCAUUCAGGCCGCGUAGACCGAGCUCACUGUUGGCCCCUCAUACUGGUUUCCUUUGCCCAGAGAAUAACUCUGCAAUCAGUUCGCAUUUUUCCCAUCUCCCUCUCAGGUUGGAUACAUCUGCUCUCAUUCAGGCCUGUGGCACUCGCAAAUGAACGGCGUGUGUUUUCAGCGUCCAAAUAGCAGCUCUGCAAAUCAUCUGCCGUGUUUCAGACUUCGAGCUCGAGCGCGCCCACCGAGACGAGAUGUUCAUUCCCCAAUGCCGACUGCUUUCCACGGUAAUGCAGCGGUUCGUAUGCCAUUCCUUAGUAUUUGCUUACAACAAAUCAAUAAACACUAAUGUGCCGACUGCGUUGUGACUGCAGUGGUCCAACUCCACUCUCCAAACCCCAACGCCAGCGCUGCACAGACCCGGUUUACCGUCAGCUGAUAUUGUGCAAGGGUGAAUGGUGCAAAAAGUGACUACGGAGUGAUAGUGUUAUAAAGUAAACAUGAGUACAAUGAUGGUCCCAUGAAAAGGAGGUUGGAUGCACUCCAGUGAGAGAAUCACAUCCAACUCUCCUGCAACAAUAGCGAGAGGAGCUGAGCCUGUGUACCUGUCUCUCUGUGUGGCCCCGGUUAAAUGCUGCUUCUUGCGUUUGAUCUCGACAGAAGCCCCCUUUUGGCUCAUUUGCAGGGCCUCGCCACUCGGGUGCUGAACUCAACUUCAUUCCGGUUGCCGGUGUUUGUUCUGCUUUCACACAGACAUAAUUAAAUCAAGCCUAAUCCACUAUUUAUGCAUUCUGCAUUUAAAUUAUUCACACAACAGUUUUGUGUGUUAUUGCAUUUUUUUUUCAGAGACAGUUGUAACUGGUGGGGCUUGCAGAUAUUAAAAAUAACAUUCCUCAAGAUUGCUUCUUUUAUUAAUUAAGCUCCGUUUGCUCCCCCAUGCAGUGCAAUUCAAUGGAGUCGUGUGAAAGCUGUGCUUGCAUUUCUUUGCUGAAGCAAGUAUGAAUUUGCCUAACACAGUCACACAGUGUGUAAUAAGAGUAAUUAUAGUGCCAUCAGCUUUCCAAGAAUAUUUUUAACGUUGAAAUAUCAGUGCACACAGACACAAAACAACCUCCAGUGAAUAAUUCAUGGCGUACAUCCAUACAAACACCAUAGUCUCACCUUGAGAGAAGCGGCAGGGUUUUACACAUCACCGUCUGUUUACGUCUGCAUAUGUGAACAGCGUAUUUUAACACCUUUUGGGCCUCCAAAGGGAGCUGCCUAAAAUUAACUCCAGCGUCUUUUGAUUUGUCUGUUGAAAUUGACAAAAAAAAGUUUCACCGUACUUUCUAAAAAUAAUUCUGAUUGAAAUGCUUCUGAUGCAGCACCAAACGAUCGCACAAUCCUUUGAUUUUAAAUUUAAAUAAUAAUAAUUUCUGAAAUUCAUAAUAUACUGUAUUUAAAAUAUUCAAACAUUGCGUUUGACAGUCCGCCGGUCUGUGGUGGGAGUUAGCUUUGUAGCUUGUAAUUUGACUUUUAAAAACUCACCUGUCACCUGUGCUGAUUAACGGGGCACAGCAGGCCGAACAUGCUGCUGAGUCUAAUCAUCACAGUCCAAUGGGCAAUGGGCACAAGCCUCCUGCACCUUCAAGUCACAGCCCGCUGUGGUUUUUCUAGAAGUUGCUUUACUUCAUGUCCGUGGUACAUUAUUGAAGUGCUUCUUACACCCAGCGAGGAAGUUGACAGGCUGCAUACAGAUUCUUCACUAAACUGUAACUGUAACUGCAAAUUAUUAGUAUCUCAAUGUGUUUUUCUCCAGGAGUUGAUCCAAUGCAGAGCACUCUGUCCCCGAGGACGUCUCUUGACAAAUCUAUUAACGGGACAAAUGGCUACGUAGAAUACAAAUUGCGUGUGGAGACAUUUGUGUGUGAGCUGUUUUGGAGCUUUAUUUCUCCAUGUGUCGGCCAAGUGGAAAACAGACAGAGAAGUUAAUUAGGCGCAGUAGAUUCUGAUGUUCCAGUUCCAACAAAAAUCAAAUGACACCCACCGCCAUCCAUCACCGUCGAGCCACCCUCGGUGCACCUGUCGUGCAACCCUGUUGUAUUGAAAUGGCAUUCCGAAGGUUUCACAUCUCCGUGUUAAAUAUGGAGAGCAUCCUGGAGACUGGUGUCAUUACUUUUAGAUCACAGUGGUGUAAUAUUUUAUUACAAAGCGACCCACUGUCUGACUGACUUUUUUUCUCCGUUCAUGCUACAGCUCGCUCUCUGUUGAGCACGGAAGGAUCUUAAUGUGUUUGAAGCACACUGAAACAGAAAUAUGAUCUAAUCUUAGCGAAAUUAAGAAAUCAGAUCAUGGGUGAAAUUGCUCCAUAUUUGUUGUACGUCCUCUCACGGAGCAGAGUGAAUGUUUACGCUGGUCAUCAUUUGCCUCCUGUGGUCUUUGAGCGUUUCGGUUGUGCACAUAUCAACUUUUCAUUCAUUAAGGAGGAGCAGGGGAAACCAAAAAACACAGCAAUGCCUGACAGUCUGAGAGGAGUUUUUGCACAAUUUGUAUUGCAGAUAGAUGAAGCUUACCUUCCCUUUACCCUCGUUUCUCUGUGUGCAUCCAUUUGUUGUUCAGACACUGACAACUGCAUCAACCUGAGUCUCCUGGCGAAAAAACACUCAAUCCCUCAGAAAUUGUUGUUACAGAACACUACUCUCUAUAUCCAGAGAGGUUUGGUUUUGUGCAAAAGACCAAACAACAUGUGAUGCGUAUACCGAAGCUGGCCUAUCAAUACAUAAUGCACUACAGGUGUUGCCAUAGCUAACAACAUCCCACUGAUAUGCUGUGGAUUGCACACACAAACAUAGACGGUAGAACAGAAAAUGUCUUGAUACCAUCUUGAGGGCCAGCAGGUGCAACAUUGUUUUUCCUCUGAGUAACGCGUAUUGUUGAAAAACUUCUAAAUAUUUCAGAAAUCUUUUGCCCUCCAAAAUAAAUUCAAGCAGAAAAGCACACAUAGCGAUACCAAUUAUAAUAUGGGUGAUCAUGACUAGUGGUACCAUUAUAUUUGGGGUGUAUAUAAAAUACACAUUUCUGUAUUAUGAAUUAAACGUUGUAUAUCCUGUAAGCCAUUUAGUGUGGGGGAGGAUUUUUGUCUUUUCCUUAUUUUAUCCACAAUGAAGGGUGGAUAAAGGGUGGAGGUUUUUUUCUGUGUCAGGUCACAGGUGUACAGGUAGGAAAGCAUUGCGCGGCACCUGAUUUUGGACAUUCUAAAAUGAGUCUAAUGUAAUGUUCAAGAUGUUAUGAAAUAUGAUGAUAUGUCUUGAUUAGUGUAUUGCAUAUCAGAUCACAAUGACGGUAUAAUACUAUGUUGGCUUGAAGAAGCUCCAGGUCAAAGGUGUAAUCAUUGAAUGUGCUGUAAUGUUGACGUGCUCAGGGACUUGCGAGGUGAGAGAGGGAUUUCCGGUUCGGUCACCAGAUGGAGUCCAAGAGGAAGGUCAUGAAAAGCCCGGGCGUGGACGGAAAGGCGCCAGGACCAACCUGGGAGGAGCUGCGUUUGGACGUGCAGCCAAUCACACGGCUGCAACGGGAUUCUCUAAUCUGAAAUAUUAAACUAUUCAUAGCGUAUUUAUCACACGUAUUUGCUUCUGUUAGAUAGUUCAUUGUUUUUGGUUUUGAAGCUGUUGUUCUGGGAGGGCUUUCGACCCCUCGCUCGUUUGUAAUGGUUCUCUCUCUCUCUCUGUCCGAUACACUGAAUCGCUGCGGAGAGUCUGGUUGAAUUCGGUGUUGCACAGCUCUGGUACUGUCUGAGAAGUUUGAUCAGCGGCGAGUUUCACACCGACGGCGGGUCGUACUAUUUCCCCCGUGCAGUUGACAACGGUGCAACAGUUGCAUCAUCAGCUGUGAGCGCGGCAGUGAUGAAUUCUGGGUGCUUCUUCCAGCUCCCAGCUCCCAAAUCUGCUCAAAGCCAAGAGGGCACGAGCAAAUUCUGUCGCACCGCGCGGGGACGACAUGAAGUGUAGAACGCACCUAAUGAUGACGGAAUAUCCGGACAUGAGCUUCUGGAGGUCCCACUGGAUCAUCUUGAUGAUGAGUGAGGGAGCCAGCAUGCUCAAGUAACUCCUUAUCAACAGGCAAUGAAGAGGUACCUUCUUGUCUUCAAUUUGAUUUGAUUACACAAAGGCACAGAGCAGUGAAAUGUCUCAACACUGACCGAGAGGGUCUGAGAAAUGCUAACCUUUC